GCCAGUGUGGUGAAAUGGUUUGAGUGUUGGACUACAACUCUGGUGAUCCAGGGUUUGAUUCCCUGCUCGAGCA
Molecule: non-coding RNA, 73 nt
Organism: Phrynosoma platyrhinos (Desert horned lizard)
Lineage: Eukaryota; Metazoa; Chordata; Lepidosauria; Squamata; Phrynosomatidae
Source: the annotation of a GenBank genome assembly